AUGGGAGGACGGAUCUUCGUGCUCCGCUGCAACAUCAGGUUCGAGGCCUUUAUGUUCUACGACGACAAAAACACGCGGCGGAUUCCAUUUUCAUCUCCAUCAUCCAUGGCUCCGGCACCGGCACCGGCCCCCACAGGACAUGGAAUCAGACCUUGGGUAAUAGCCUUAUCGGUAGCUGCACCUGUAACACUGGUUGCUCUCUGCUGCUUCAUCGUUUACUGUUGUCGGCUUAGAAAAAGGCACACAAAAAAAGGUAAAGUGACCUUACAGGAAAAAGGUACUCACCAGUUUCAAGGAGAUGAACUAGUUUGGGAAAUGGAAGCAGAGUUGUCUGAAUUUUCAGUAUAUGAGUUUCAUCAGAUAUUAGAGGCUACAAGUAACUUCUCCGAGGAAAACAAACUUGGCGAAGGUGGAUUUGGCCCAGUUUAUAAGGGCUACUUUCCUGAGGGAAUAGAGAUAGCAGUUAAGAGACUUGAUUCCGAUUCAGAUCAAGGUUUCAUAGAGUUCAAAAAUGAAGUUGAGCUCAUAGCCAAACUUCAACACAGAAAUUUGGUUAGGCUCAUGGGAUGUUGCUCUCAAGGAGAAGAGAAAGUACUGGUCUACGAAUAUUUGCCAAACAAAAGCUUGGACUUCUUCAUCUUUGAUGAAGAUAGAAAAGUUCUACUGGAUUGGGAGAAACGUCUCGCAAUAAUUGUAGGAAUAGCAGAAGGACUUCUUUACCUACAUAAGCACUCUAGGUUGCGUGUUAUACAUCGGGAUCUUAAACCAAGCAACAUUCUUUUGGAUAGCACAAUGAAUGCUAAAAUUUCAGAUUUUGGACUAGCAAAAAUAUUUAGCUCAAAUAACAAUGAAGGAAAUAAAACAAGAAAGGUGGUUGGUACAUAUGGCUACAUGGCACCCGAGUAUGCUUCCCAUGGCCUCUUCUCUGUCAAAUCGGAUGUAUUCAGCUUUGGUGUUUUAGUUCUUGAGAUCAUUAGCGGGAAGAAGAAUUCCCAUGAGUGUGGAGCUUUCAUUAACCUCAUUGGAUAUGCUUGGCAGUUAUUUGAAGAGGAAAGAUGGAUCGAACUCGUUGAUGCGGCAUUGAUUCCCAACGGUGAUUCGUCAGAAAUGAUGAGGUCCAUUAACAUUGCAUUGUUGUGUGUACAAGAAGGUGCAAUUGAUCGGCCGACCAUGUUAGAUGUUGUUGCAAUGCUAAGCAACAAGACUAUGAUCUUAAAUAAGCCUAAGCACCCAGCAUAUUACAGUAUAAGUGUAGGCAACAAAGAAGCAUCCGCUGCUGCUAAGUCUUGUAGUUUUAAUGAUGUGACUAUAUCUACGAUAACUCCUAGAUAG
Molecule: ribosomal RNA, 1332 nt
Filed under: Triticum aestivum (bread wheat)
Lineage: Eukaryota; Viridiplantae; Streptophyta; Magnoliopsida; Poales; Poaceae
Description: partial small subunit ribosomal RNA
Source: RNAcentral